GACGAACGCUGGCGGCGUGCCUAACGCAUGCAAGUCAAACGGAACUGUUUUGAAAUAUUUCUUCGGAAUGAAUUUGAUUUAUUUUAGUGGCGGACGGGUGAUUAACGCGUGAUUAACCUGCCUUCUAGAGGGGGAUAACAUUCUGAAAAGAAUGCUAAUACCGCAUGAUAUAUCGGAACCGCAUGGUUUUGAUAUCAAAGAUUUUAUCGCUUGAAGAUGGACUCGCGUCCGAUUAGUUAGUUGGUGAGGUAACGGCUCACCAAGACCGCGAUCGGUAGCCGGACUGAAAGGUUGAACGGCCACAUUGGGACUGAGACACGGCCCAGACUCCUACGGGAGGCAGCAGUGGGGGAUAUUGCGCAAUGGGGGCAACCCUGACGCAGCAACGCCGCGUGAAGGAUGAAGGUUUUUCGGAUUGUAAACUUCUUUUAUUAAGGACGAAAAAUGACGGUACUUAAUGAAUAAGCUCCGGCUAACUACGUGCCAGCAGCCGCGGUAAUACGUAGGGAGCAAGCGUUGUCCGGAUUUACUGGGUGUAAAGGGUGCGUAGGCGGCUUUGCAAGUCAGAUGUGAAAUCUAUGGGCUCAACCCAUAAACUGCAUUUGAAACUGUAGAGUUUGAGUGAUGUAGAGGCAGGCGGAAUUCCCCGUGUAGCGGUGAAAUGCGUAGAGAUGGGGAGGAACACCAGUGGCGAAGGCGGCCUGCUGGGCUUUAACUGACGCUGAGGCCCGAAAGCGUGGGUAGCAAACA
This 750-nucleotide ribosomal RNA is filed under the name uncultured bacterium. Its description in RNAcentral is "bacterial SSU rRNA". It matches the Rfam family "Bacterial small subunit ribosomal RNA", at positions 28 to 774 of the family's 1533-position model. The record is from RNAcentral.